RNAcentral lists this ribosomal RNA (327 nucleotides) under uncultured eukaryote. RNAcentral's name for it is "partial 18S ribosomal RNA". It matches the Rfam family "Eukaryotic small subunit ribosomal RNA", at positions 1470 to 1796 of the family's 1831-position model. The record is from RNAcentral.
CCCUUAGAUGUUCUGGGCCGCACACGCGCUACACUGAAGGAGGCAGCGUGUACUCCUGGAUCGAAAGAUUUGGGUAACCCGCGAAUCUCCUUCGUGCUAGGGAUUGAGGUUUGCAAUUAUCCUUCAUGAACAAGGAAUUCCCAGUAAGUGCAAGUCAUAAGCUUGCGCUGACUACGUCCCUGCCCUUUGUACACACCGCCCGUCGCUACUACCGAUUGAAUGAUUUAGUGAGGACUUCGGACUGGGACCGAUGCGGCUUUCGGGCUGCGUCGGUAUUCUGGAAAGAUGUCCAAACUGUAUCAUUUAGAGGAAGUAAAAGUCGUAACA